GACGAGUGGCGGACGGGUGAGUAAUGCUUGGGAACUUGCCUUUGCGAGGGGGAUAACAGUUGGCAAACUGACUGCUAAUACCGCAUAAUGUCUUCGGACCAAACGGGGCUUCCGCUCCGGCGCAUAGAGAGGCCCAAGUGAGAUUACCUAGUUGGUAAGGUAACGGCUUACCAAGGCGACGAUCUCUAGCUGUUCUGAGAGGAAGAUCAGCCACACUGGGACUGAGACACGGCCCAGACUCCUACGGGAGGCAGCAGUGGGGAAUAUUGCACAAUGGGGGAAACCCUGAUGCAGCCAUGCCGCGUGUGUGAAGAAGGCCUUCGGGUUGUAAAGCACUUUCAGUUGUGAAGAAAAGUUAGUAGUUAAUACCUGCUAGCCGUGACGUUAACAACAGAAGAAGCACCGGCUAACUCCGUGCCAGCAGCCGCGGUAAUACGGAGGGUGCGAGCGUUAAUCGGAAUUACUGGGCGUAAAGCGCACGCAGGCGGUUUGUUAAGCUAGAUGUGAAAGCCCCGGGCUCAACCUGGGAUGGUCAUUUAGAACUGGCAGACUAGAGUUCUUGGAGAGGGGAGUGGAAUUCCAGGUGUAGCGGUGAAAUGCGUAGAUAUUCUGGAGGAACAUCAGUGGCGAAGUGCGACUCCCCUG
This 645-nucleotide ribosomal RNA is filed under the name bacterium T275. Its description in RNAcentral is "bacterial SSU rRNA". It matches the Rfam family "Bacterial small subunit ribosomal RNA", at positions 90 to 732 of the family's 1533-position model. The record is from RNAcentral.